AUUCUAUGUAAAGUGCUUUCGAAGAGUCGAGUUGUUUGGGAAUGCAGCUCUAAGUGGGUGGUAAAUUCCAUCUAAAGCUAAAUAUUGGCGAGAGACCGAUAGCGAACAAGUACAGUGAUGGAAAGAUGAAAAGAACUUUGAAAAGAGAGUGAAAAAGUACGUGAAAUUGUUGAAAGGGAAGGGCUUGAGAUCAGACUUGGUAUUUUGCGAUCCUUUCCUUCUUGGUUGGGUUCUCCGCAGCUUACUGGGCCAGCAUCGGUUUGGAUGGUAGGAUAAUGAUUAAGGAAUGUGGCUCUACUUCGGUGGAGUGUUAUAGCCUUGGUUGAUACUGCCUGUCUAGACCGAGGACUGCGUCUUUGACUAGGAUGCUGGCAUAAUGAUCUUAAGCCACCCGUCUUGAAACACGGACCAAGGAGUCUAACGUCUAUGCGAGUGUUUGGGUGUAAAACCCGUACGCGUAAUGAAAGUGAACGUAGGUGAGAGCUCUUAAGAGUGCAUCAUCGACCGAUCCUGAUGUCUUCGGAUGGAUUUGAGUAAGAGCAUAGCUGUUGGGACCCGAAAGAUGGUGAACUAUGCCUGAAUAGGGUGAAGCCAGAGGAAACUCUGGUGGAGGCUCGUAGCGGUUCUGACGUGCAAAUCGAUCGUCGAAUUUGGGUAUAGGG
This 662-nucleotide ribosomal RNA is filed under the name Debaryomyces nepalensis. RNAcentral describes it as "LSU rRNA". It matches the Rfam family "Eukaryotic large subunit ribosomal RNA", at positions 239 to 922 of the family's 3401-position model. The record is from RNAcentral. Lineage: Eukaryota; Fungi; Ascomycota; Pichiomycetes; Serinales; Debaryomycetaceae.